UACAGAGGUGGCAAGCGUUGUUCGGAAUUACUGGGCGUAAAGGGCGCGUAGGCGGCCUUCUAAGUCAGACGUGAAAUCCCCCGGCUUAACCUGGGAACUGCAUCUGAUACUGGAUGGCUUGAGAUUGGGAGAGGGAUGCGGAAUUCCAGGUGUAGCGGUGAAAUGCGUAGAUAUCUGGAGGAACACCGGUGGCGAAGGCGGCAUCCUGGACCAACACUGACACUGAGGAGCGAAAGCCAGGGGAGCAAACGGG
RNAcentral lists this ribosomal RNA (253 nucleotides) under uncultured bacterium. Its description in RNAcentral is "partial 16S ribosomal RNA". It matches the Rfam family "Bacterial small subunit ribosomal RNA", at positions 524 to 776 of the family's 1533-position model. The record is from RNAcentral.